GACGAACGCUGGCGGCGUGCUUAACACAUGCAAGUCGAACGGAAAGGCCCUGCUUUUGUGGUGUUCUCGAUUGGCGAACGGGUGAGUAACACGUGUGUAACCUGCCCUUCUCUUUGGGAUAACUUCAGGAAACUGGGGCUACUCCCGGAUAGGAUCUCCUGCUCCAUGGUGGGCGUUGGAAAGUCUCGGCGGUUGGGGAUGGACUGGCGGCUUACCAGCUUGCUGGUGGGGUAGUGGCUUACCAAGGCUGGGACGGGUAGCCGGCCUGAGAGGGUGACCGGGGACAAUGGGACUGAGGGAGGGACCAGACGCGUACGGGAGGCAGCAGUGGGGAACAUUGCACAGUGGGCGGGAGCCUGAUGCGGAAGCGCUGCGGGCGGGAUGACGGCCUGCGGGGUGUGAACCGCAGUAGCCUGUGACGAAGCGGGAGUGACGGUAAUGGGUAAAGAAGCACCGGCUAACUACGUG
This 468-nucleotide ribosomal RNA is filed under the name uncultured bacterium. RNAcentral describes it as "partial 16S ribosomal RNA". It matches the Rfam family "Bacterial small subunit ribosomal RNA", at positions 28 to 507 of the family's 1533-position model. The record is from RNAcentral.